RNAcentral lists this transfer RNA (84 nucleotides) under Anaerolineae bacterium. RNAcentral describes it as "tRNA-Asp". It matches the Rfam family "tRNA". Rfam says of the family: Transfer RNA (tRNA) molecules are approximately 80 nucleotides in length. The record is from RNAcentral. Lineage: Bacteria; Bacillati; Chloroflexota; Anaerolineae.
GGGGAUAUAGCGCAGUUGGCGCGCACUUGCGAGCGCACCUCAUUGUCAAUGAGAAGGUCGCGGGUUCGAGCCCCGUUAUCCCCG